Molecule: long non-coding RNA, 1224 nt
Filed under: Homo sapiens (human)
Lineage: Eukaryota; Metazoa; Chordata; Mammalia; Primates; Hominidae
Description: HSALNT0088812
Source: RNAcentral
AAAGUCUGGGACAGAUGUAUUGGAGCUCCAUUGUAUGUUACUUUUUUUCUUUUCUCUGGAUGAUUUUAGGAUCCUUUCUUUAUCCUUGACUUUUGGAAGUUUGAUUAUUAAAUACCUUGAGAGAUGGGGUUUCACCGUGUUAGCCAGGAUGGUCUCGAUCGCCUGACCUCGUGAUGUGCCUGCCUCGGCCUCCCAAAAUGCUGGGAUUACAGGUGUGAGCCAGUGCACCUGGCCGAGGAAAAAAGGAAGGACAGGAACUAGCCUCAAUCCAGCCCAAUUAGCCUUCCCCCAAGUGCAACGAGGCCAAUGACAACCAAUGAUGAAGGCAGUGUUUACAAGGACCAAUCUCUUGACGGAUCAUUUAAAAACUCUUUAAAGAUUCAGGGAAACCACCCAGCCAGAAUGUUGAUAUCAAGACAUGAUGGAUCUACUGUGUCUCCAAGCUUUGGAAUCCCAAAGCCCAAAGAGGAAGUGAGGAGCCCCAGGUCCCACCAUUAGAUCCUCCUGGACCACAGUCACUCGAGGAAGCCUACCCCACACUUACAAAGACAAGACCUCGCCACACAGCAUCUGUCCUCUUCAAGAUCUGCCCCCACCAAGAUGUGUCUCCAGACCAAAACCACAGUCAGAUUGAAGCACAGGCCAGUGCAGAGGAAAUACUGAACACAGAGGAAAAAAUGGCAAGGCCCUAAAUAGUAGGUUCAGCAGGCCCCAGGGGGCCGAGUGUGGAAGUGGAUCUUGAGGGCUUGGAACUGGUGUUGGGGAGAAUAGAAGGGUGGGAAGGUGAGAAUUUACUCACAUGGAAGCCCUCCCAGCAAAGACACCUGGGCCCAUCCUCACUGGCGCCCGGUUGCUUUCAUAGCCGCGGACACAACUUGGGCCCACAGUUAACGAGGAGGAAGGCAGAGCGUGCUGAGCAGAGCACCAAGGAAGAGAGCUCGGCUAGCCGGGAAGGUCCGAAUGGAUUUAUUUGGUGAGGCCAAGGAACCCACUGCCUCCACGGUGUUCCUCCAGGAGGCUCCUCCCUUCACUAAGGCAGCAAGGAGUGCACUGGUGAGGGGAAGAAGGAAGACACGGAAACACUCACAAUCUCUACCCUCUACUAAACAGCCAAGGUUGCAGGGUAGAGCUGCCUGGAGCCCAAAGCACAGUAGUCUCCCUACUGGUCCCCAAGAGUGUGACUUUCGAUGUGGAACCCACAGUGAUACUGGCCAGUGGCUCUUG